AGAGUUUGAUCAUGGCUCAGAUUGAACGCUGGCGGCAGGCCUAACACAUGCAAGUCGAGCGGUAGCACAGAGAGCUUGCUCUCGGGUGACGAGCGGCGGACGGGUGAGUAAUGUCUGGGAAACUGCCUGAUGGAGGGGGAUAACUACUGGAAACGGUAGCUAAUACCGCAUAAUGUCGCAAGACCAAAGUGGGGGACCUUCGGGCCUCAUGCCAUCAGAUGUGCCCAGAUGGGAUUAGCUAGUAGGUGGGGUAACGGCUCACCUAGGCGACGAUCGCUAGCUGGUCUGAGAGGAUGACCAGCCACACUGGAACUGAGACACGGUCCAGACUCCUACGGGAGGCAGCAGUGGGGAAUAUUGCACAAUGGGCGCAAGCCUGAUGCAGCCAUGCCGCGUGUGUGAAGAAGGCCUUCGGGUUGUAAAGCACUUUCAGCGGGGAGGAAGGCGAUAAGGUUAAUAACCUUGUCGAUUGACGUUACCCGCAGAAGAAGCACCGGCUAACUCCGUGCCAGCAGCCGCGGUAAUACGGAGGGUGCAAGCGUUAAUCGGAAUUACUGGGCGUAAAGCGCACGCAGGCGGUCUGUCAAGUCGGAUGUGAAAUCCCCGGGCUCAACCUGGGAACUGCAUUCGAAACUGGCAGGCUAGAGUCUUGUAGAGGGGGGUAGAAUUCCAGGUGUAGCGGUGAAAUGCGUAGAGAUCUGGAGGAAUACCGGUGGCGAAGGCGGCCCCCUGGACAAAGACUGACGCUCAGGUGCGAAAGCGUGGGGAGCAAACAGGAUUAGAUACCCUGGUAGUCCACGCCGUAAACGAUGUCGAUUUGGAGGUUGUGCCCUUGAGGCGUGGCUUCCGGAGCUAACGCGUUAAAUCGACCGCCUGGGGAGUACGGCCGCAAGGUUAAAACUCAAAUGAAUUGACGGGGGCCCGCACAAGCGGUGGAGCAUGUGGUUUAAUUCGAUGCAACGCGAAGAACCUUACCUGGUCUUGACAUCCACAGAACUUUCCAGAGAUGGAUUGGUGCCUUCGGGAACUGUGAGACAGGUGCUGCAUGGCUGUCGUCAGCUCGUGUUGUGAAAUGUUGGGUUAAGUCCCGCAACGAGCGCAACCCUUAUCCUUUGUUGCCAGCGGUNGGCCGGGAACUCAAAGGAGACUGCCAGUGAUAAACUGGAGGAAGGUGGGGAUGACGUCAAGUCAUCAUGGCCCUUACGACCAGGGCUACACACGUGCUACAAUGGCAUAUACAAAGAGAAGCGACCUCGCGAGAGCAAGCGGACCUCAUAAAGUAUGUCGUAGUCCGGAUUGGAGUCUGCAACUCGACUCCAUGAAGUCGGAAUCGCUAGUAAUCGUAGAUCAGAAUGCUACGGUGAAUACGUUCCCGGGCCUUGUACACACCGCCCGUCACACCAUGGGAGUGGGUUGCAAAAGAAGUAGGUAGCUUAACCUUCGGGAGGGCGCUUACCACUUUGUGAUUCAUGACUGGGGUGAAGUCGUAACAAGGUAACCGUAGGGGAACCUGCGGUUGGAUCACCU
RNAcentral lists this ribosomal RNA (1527 nucleotides) under Klebsiella pneumoniae. RNAcentral's name for it is "bacterial SSU rRNA". It matches the Rfam family "Bacterial small subunit ribosomal RNA". The record is from RNAcentral. Lineage: Bacteria; Pseudomonadati; Pseudomonadota; Gammaproteobacteria; Enterobacterales; Enterobacteriaceae.